GAGAGAUCGUAUCCUUCAGUUCGGCUGGAUCGGAGACAGGUGCUGCAUGGCUGUCGUCAGCUCGUGUCGUGAGAUGUUGGGUUAAGUCCCGCAACGAGCGCAACCCUCGCCCUUAGUUGCCAGCAUUCAGUUGGGCACUCUAAGGGGACUGCCGGUGAUAAGCCGAGAGGAAGGUGGGGAUGACGUCAAGUCCUCAUGGCCCUUACGGGCUGGGCUACACACGUGCUACAAUGGUGGUGACAGUGGGCAGCGAGACCGCGAGGUCGAGCUAAUCUCCAAAAGCCAUCUCAGUUCGGAUUGCACUCUGCAACUCGAGUGCAUGAAGUUGGAAUCGCUAGUAAUCGCAGAUC
This 350-nucleotide ribosomal RNA is filed under the name Ensifer meliloti. Its description in RNAcentral is "Sinorhizobium meliloti bacterial SSU rRNA". It matches the Rfam family "Bacterial small subunit ribosomal RNA", at positions 1001 to 1350 of the family's 1533-position model. Lineage: Bacteria; Pseudomonadati; Pseudomonadota; Alphaproteobacteria; Hyphomicrobiales; Rhizobiaceae. The record is from RNAcentral.